RNAcentral lists this ribosomal RNA (301 nucleotides) under uncultured bacterium. Its description in RNAcentral is "partial 16S ribosomal RNA". It matches the Rfam family "Bacterial small subunit ribosomal RNA", at positions 509 to 807 of the family's 1533-position model. The record is from RNAcentral.
CAGCAGCCACGGGAAUACGUAGGGUGCGAGCGUUAAUCGGAAUUACUGGGCGUAAAGCGUGCGCAGGCGGUUCGUUAAGACAGAUGUGAAAUCCCCGGGCUUAACCUGGGAUCUGCAUUUGUGACUGGCGAGCUAGAGUAUGGCAGAGGGGGGUAGAAAUCCACGUGUAGCAGUGAAAUGCGUAGAGAUGUGGAGGAAUACCGAUGGCGAAGGCAGCCCCCUGGGCCAAUACUGACGCUCAUGCACGAAAGCGUGGGGAGCAAACAGGAUUAGAUACCCCAGUAGUCCCUGUCUCUUAUAC